This 497-nucleotide ribosomal RNA is filed under the name uncultured bacterium. RNAcentral describes it as "partial 16S ribosomal RNA". It matches the Rfam family "Bacterial small subunit ribosomal RNA", at positions 28 to 507 of the family's 1533-position model. The record is from RNAcentral.
GAUGAACGCUGGCGGCGUGCCUAAUACAUGCAAGUCGAGCGAACAGACGAGGAGCUUGCUCCUCUCACGUUAGCGGCGGACGGGUGAGUAACACGUGGAUAACCUACCUAUAAGACUGGGAUAACUUCGGGAAACCGGAGCUAAUACCGGAUAAUAUAUUGAACCGCAUGGUUCAAUAGUGAAAUACGGUUUUGCUGUCACUUAUAGAUGGAUCCGCGCCGCAUUAGCUAGUUGGUAAGGUAACGGCUUACCAAGGCGACGAUGCGUAGCCGACCUGAGAGGGGGAUCGGCCACACUGGAACUGAGACACGGUCCAGACUCCUACGGGAGGCAGCAGUAGGGAAUCUUCCGCAAUGGGCGAAAGCCUGACGGAGCAACGCCGCGUGAGUGAUGAAGGUCUUCGGAUCGUAAAACUCUGUUAUUAGGGAAGAACAAAUGUGUAAGUAACUAUGCACGUCUUGACGGUACCUAAUCAGAAAGCCACGGCUAACUACGUG